This 1301-nucleotide long non-coding RNA is filed under the name Homo sapiens (human). RNAcentral describes it as "non-protein coding lnc-KLHL18-8:2". Lineage: Eukaryota; Metazoa; Chordata; Mammalia; Primates; Hominidae. The record is from RNAcentral.
CGCCAGCCGCUCUCUCCCUCUCACCCUCACACCGGGAGCGACGCACACCCCACCCGCCCCUCAGCUUCGCAGGCCCGGCCCCUUAAAGAGACACACACGGGCCACCGAUCUGCCGCCAGUCGGCGUGCCUUGCAGCUGUUGGCUUGACCCCAGGCCGGGACGGGCAGAGCGGAACACUGCCCGGCGGGUCCAGGCCGACCGUGCCUGUGGCUCUCCGGAACAAUAAACCCCCGGCCCCAGUGAUGUGGGCCAGACCGGACCUGGAGAGGCGGCACCGCGACCCCUCCCGCAACCCGCCUGGCGGCCGGGGGCAGCGUGACCCGGCCCGCUACCGUGUCACAGCUGGCGACUGACAAACAGCAGGCGACGUCGGGAGAACUCCCCGAGACACCCGAGACAUCAGCCUUCUCGCUCCGCGGCCCUGCAGGACCUGCCCGCCGGGAGCCCCGGAGUCCGCGGCAGCGCCGAGGGCCCCUCCCCCAGGCCUCUGGGCUCUGAGGCUCAUCCAUGGAAUACCAAUUCUUUUUCUUAGUGUUCACAUUGGAUUUUUCUGUUAAAAAUAGAUUGUUGGAGUUGGCUAACAAGUUGAUUACUUCCAGUCAGGCACUCUCUUCUGUAAAGUCUCUUUUGUAAACUCCUACAAGCAGCUAUUUCACUGGAUUUGAAAAGACUGACUAAAAAGAACCAUGCACUGUAACUCUCAAGUAUACAGGAAUAUUGUUAUUAGGUAAUUUUUUUUUUCAAUAUGUGUUAACCUUGUCUUCCCUACAAUUUUCUUUUUCUUUUUUUUUUUUUUUUGAGAUGGAAUCUCACUCUGUCGCCCAGGCUGGAGUGCGGUGGCACAAUCUCAGCUCACUGCAACCUCUACUGCCUGGGUUCAAGCGAUUCUCCUGCCUCAGCCUCCUGAGUAGCUGGGAUUACAGACGCGCGCCACCAUACCCAGCUAAUUUUUUGUAUCUUUAGUAGAGACGGGGUUUCACCAUCUUGGCCAGGCUGGUCUUGAACUCCUGACCUUGUGAUCCACCCGCCUCAGCCUCCCAAAGUGCUGGGAUUACAGGCAUGAGCCACGGCGCCCAGCCUCCCUACAGUUUUCAAACAUUCAGAGAGGUGAUUAUGGUGUAUCUUUUAUUCUGUUUUGCUUUGGAUCUUGGCGUUCUUCUAGAGAACUCAUCUGCUCAGGAGCUUCUCAGUGCAUCUUCCCUCCCAAACUUGUCUUACCCAGCAGAGAAUGAAUGUACUCAAGAUUACCAGUUUUGCAGAUGAAUAAACCAAUGAUUCCAGAGGUUAUGGUGCAUAUCUAG